This 263-nucleotide long non-coding RNA is filed under the name Amazona collaria (yellow-billed parrot). RNAcentral's name for it is "lncRNA (ENSACOG00000004321.1)". Lineage: Eukaryota; Metazoa; Chordata; Aves; Psittaciformes; Psittacidae. The record is from RNAcentral.
CGAACGGGAACCUCUCUCCUUCCCUGGGCUGUUUUUUCAGUUUCCUGUCUCUCAUUGUGCUCACAGCGGAUAUGUGCUGCGCCUACAGCAGGAACAAGUACACAUCAAAAGGCACUUCAUCCUGGAAGCUAUUUGCACAGAAGCCCAAGCCCCAAGAAGUCCCUUUCACUAGUGGCGGUCGUGCUGCUCAGGUGAGAAGAGCGAGGGGGACAGCCCAGGACUCAGUUCUGGGGCUUGCCUGGUACCCGCUGGAGCACAGCUGA